This is a non-coding RNA of Trichonephila inaurata madagascariensis, 72 nucleotides long. Lineage: Eukaryota; Metazoa; Arthropoda; Arachnida; Araneae; Nephilidae. The record is from the annotation of a GenBank genome assembly.
GAGGGUAUAGCUCAGUGGUAGAGUAUUCGACUGCUAAUAGAGAGGGCCCCGGUUCAAACCAGAGUGUCCUCU